Non-coding RNA from Pelobates cultripes (western spadefoot toad), 426 nucleotides. The record is from the annotation of a GenBank genome assembly. NCBI's taxonomy places the organism in Eukaryota, Metazoa, Chordata, Amphibia, Anura, Pelobatidae.
CUAACCACUGAGUCUGAGCUAAGGAAUGCAUUAUAUAAACACAGACACUAGUGACAGAGAAGACUAAGUAAUUAAUUUUACAAGGUCUCAUUGUAAGUUAGGGGGUGAAAUUGAGUUUAGAACUGUCAAUUUUAGAAAUUACGAUCAAAGUAGUUGCCACAAAGACUGAGACAAACGCUUUGAACUGACAGCAAAUUUAAGUUAUGGUAGUCAUUUUAGAUAAGCCAAAUGACGUCAAAAUCGUCAUCAGGAAAAGUUAACUCUUUUUUUAGUAAGGCGAGACUGCCCUCUAUGGACCAAAUACCUAAAUUGCGAUCGAUAGAUUGAACACACCUUCAGUCUCCUAUUGGCCUUAUCAACUAAUGACGUACAGAGAGUCUGGCCCUUUAAAAGUUAGGACAAAGGGAAGAGAGAGUUAGUUGUUGG